RNAcentral lists this ribosomal RNA (478 nucleotides) under Rana coreana (Korean brown frog). RNAcentral describes it as "partial 12S ribosomal RNA". It matches the Rfam family "Bacterial small subunit ribosomal RNA", at positions 853 to 1533 of the family's 1533-position model. Lineage: Eukaryota; Metazoa; Chordata; Amphibia; Anura; Ranidae. The record is from RNAcentral.
UUAACUUACAUCCAAACCGCCAGGGGAUUACGAGCAAUGCUUAAAACCCAAAGGAUUUGACGGUGUCCCACCCCACUAGAGGAGCCUGUUCUAUAAUCGAUGAUCCCCGCUUCACCUAACCACUCCUUGCUCAUCAGUCUGUAUACCUCCGUCGAAAGCUUACCAUGUGAAUGCCCGCAGUAGGCUUAAUGAUUCACCAUCAAUACGUCAGGUCAAGGUGCAACUUAAGGAAUGGUAAGUAAUGGGCUACAAUUUCUAACUUAGAACAAACGAAAGACUAUGUGAAAUCCUAGUCAUGAAGGUGGAUUUAGUAGUAAAAAGAAACUAGAGUGUUCUUUUUAACCCGGCUCUGGGACGCGUACACACCGCCCGUCACCCUCUUCGAUAGUACAUAUUCAUGUCUUUAACCCACCAUCACAUUUUAGAAGAGGCAAGUCGUAACAUGGUAAGUGUACUGGAAAGUGCACUUGGAAUAUUA